CAGUUGUGCACGAGCCAUAUACACCAUGUGGCGCCAGGUGGAAAGGAACAACGCAGAUAGGAAAUGCUCCUAGACACUCGGUUGAGCAUUACCGUGACCAAAUAUCUCUGAUUAGACCUGGCCAGUUUAUCUGGACACCAUACGCACAUUGCAUACUGC
Long non-coding RNA from Salvia splendens (bonfire salvia), 159 nucleotides. RefSeq lists it as uncharacterized. The record is from RefSeq and is a predicted model, not a curated record. NCBI's taxonomy places the organism in Eukaryota, Viridiplantae, Streptophyta, Magnoliopsida, Lamiales, Lamiaceae. The transcript has 3 exons.